This 253-nucleotide ribosomal RNA is filed under the name uncultured bacterium. RNAcentral's name for it is "partial 16S ribosomal RNA". It matches the Rfam family "Bacterial small subunit ribosomal RNA", at positions 524 to 776 of the family's 1533-position model. The record is from RNAcentral.
UACGUAGGGUGCAAGCGUUGUCCGGAUUUAUUGGGUUUAAAGGGUGCGUAGGCGGCUUUGUAAGUCAGUGGUGAAAUAUGGCAGCUCAACUGUCAAGGUGCCAUUGAUACUGCGGAGCUUGAGUACAGACGAGGUUGGCGGAAUUGAUAGUGUAGCGGUGAAAUGCAUAGAUACUAUCAAGAACUCCGAUUGCGUAGGCAGCUAACUAGGCUGUAACUGACGCUGAGGCACGAAAGCGUGGGGAGCGAACGGG